CCUACGGGGUGCUGCAGUGGGGAAUAUUGGACAAUGGGCGAAAGCCUGAUCCAGCCAUGCCGCGUGUGUGAAGAAGGCCUUCGGGUUGUAAAGCACUUUCAGUGGGGAAGAAAGCCUUGGGGCUAAUACCCUCGAGGAAGGACAUCACCCACAGAAGAAGCACCGGCUAACUCCGUGCCAGCAGCCGCGGUAAUACGGAGGGUGCGAGCGUUAAUCGGAAUUACUGGGCGUAAAGCGCGCGUAGGCGGUCUGAUAAGCCGGUUGUGAAAGCCCCGGGCUCAACCUGGGAACGGCAUCCGGAACUGUCAGGCUAGAGUGCAGGAGAGGAAGGUAGAAUUCCCGGUGUAGCGGUGAAAUGCGUAGAGAUCGGGAGGAAUACCAGUGGCGAAGGCGGUCUUCUGGACUGACACUGACGCUGAGGUGCGAAAGCGUGGGUAGCAAACAGGAUUAGAUACCCUAGUAGUC
RNAcentral lists this ribosomal RNA (465 nucleotides) under Vreelandella stevensii. RNAcentral describes it as "partial 16S ribosomal RNA". It matches the Rfam family "Bacterial small subunit ribosomal RNA", at positions 338 to 795 of the family's 1533-position model. Lineage: Bacteria; Pseudomonadati; Pseudomonadota; Gammaproteobacteria; Oceanospirillales; Halomonadaceae. The record is from RNAcentral.